UACGUAGGUCCCGAGCGUUGUCCGGAUUUAUUGGGCGUAAAGCGAGCGCAGGUGGUUUAUUAAGUCUGGUGUAAAAGGCAGUGGCUCAACCAUUGUAUGCAUUGGAAACUGGUAGACUUGAGUGCAGGAGAGGAGAGUGGAAUUCCAUGUGUAGCGGUGAAAUGCGUAGAUAUAUGGAGAAACACCGGUGGCGAAAGCGGCUCUCUGGCCUGUAACUGACACUGAGGCUCGAAAGCGUGGGGAGCAAACAGG
Molecule: ribosomal RNA, 252 nt
Filed under: uncultured bacterium
Lineage: Bacteria
Description: partial 16S ribosomal RNA
Rfam family: Bacterial small subunit ribosomal RNA
Source: RNAcentral